This 201-nucleotide long non-coding RNA is filed under the name Mytilus galloprovincialis (Mediterranean mussel). The record is from RNAcentral. Lineage: Eukaryota; Metazoa; Mollusca; Bivalvia; Mytilida; Mytilidae.
UUCUGAUAAUACUAGACGCGACUCCACUCUCCAGUUCCCUAAUCAUAUGGUCUAUGGGCGCAAAAAAUAAUGAGACUUUCCAAUACUGUUUUGGCGUGUUUGUACCUGGUCAUUGGCUCUAGUAGUCUGUCGACCACAUCGCGUCGGCAUAUUUACAACGAUAUCGAAGGGUUCUGAUAAUUCUAAUACCGAUUGGUACAU